UGUGGGAGCGGGCUUGCUCGCGAUGCAGGCGACUCGGUUUGCCUGAUUGAUCCCAUUGAUGCCAUCGCGAGCAAGCCCGCUCCCACU
This 87-nucleotide unclassified non-coding RNA is filed under the name Pseudomonas psychrophila. Lineage: Bacteria; Pseudomonadati; Pseudomonadota; Gammaproteobacteria; Pseudomonadales; Pseudomonadaceae. The record is from RNAcentral.